GAUGUAGUUUUUCUAGUUUAGAAUAUGUUAUUUAAAUGUUUUAAUGAACUUUCUUUCUUUCAAAAUAUAGACCAACCAAAUCAAGGAGGACACAUGACAGAUGUAAUAAUAGACCUCUUGCAAAUAAAAGGUUGUUAUAUGGCAUAAUUGACAAUUCUCUGGAUGGGCCUGCUGGGGCAGGUGUCAGCCUAUAUGGACAGACAGUGAGUGGCACCCCCUAACUGCCAACAAGGAAAUGUGGAGCCCAACC
This 250-nucleotide long non-coding RNA is filed under the name Felis catus (domestic cat). Its description in RNAcentral is "lncRNA (ENSFCAG00000046287.2)". The record is from RNAcentral. Lineage: Eukaryota; Metazoa; Chordata; Mammalia; Carnivora; Felidae.